This 21-nucleotide non-coding RNA is filed under the name Arabidopsis thaliana (thale cress). The record is from RNAcentral. RNAcentral also lists the same sequence under 1 other name. Lineage: Eukaryota; Viridiplantae; Streptophyta; Magnoliopsida; Brassicales; Brassicaceae.
AUUCAACCAAGCGCGGGUAAA